Molecule: ribosomal RNA, 354 nt
Filed under: Triticum aestivum (bread wheat)
Lineage: Eukaryota; Viridiplantae; Streptophyta; Magnoliopsida; Poales; Poaceae
Description: partial small subunit ribosomal RNA
Source: RNAcentral
CUUUGGAGAUGGGAACACGGAGAAGGUGAGCAUCAUCCGGCCCGGGUACUGCUCCCUGAUCUUGGAACCGGUGCCCCCGCCGAGGGAGUGGCACACCUGGAAGCCUCAGGACAAGCACAUGAACAAAAGGGAAAGUACCUUGGAGGCAGCGCAAUUCUCGGCCUCCUCGCGGACGACGUCGAGGAAGGAGUCGAUGAGCUCCCCGCCCUCGGUGUAGUGGCCCUUGGCCCAGUUGUUGCCGGCGCCGGACUGGCCGAAGACAAAGUUGUCAGGGCGGAAGAUCUGGCCGUAGGGCCCCUUGUGCACGGAGCCCAUGGUGUCGGGCUCGAGAUCCAUGAGCACGCACCGUGGGAG